GCCAGCAGCCAUACCACUGAAGCUCAGCAGGUGUGAGCCUGGUCAGUACCUGGUUGGGAGACCUCCAGGGAAAAACUAAGGUUGCUGCUGGAA
Molecule: ribosomal RNA, 93 nt
Filed under: Lepisosteus oculatus (spotted gar)
Lineage: Eukaryota; Metazoa; Chordata; Actinopteri; Semionotiformes; Lepisosteidae
Source: RNAcentral